Long non-coding RNA from Nomascus leucogenys (northern white-cheeked gibbon), 104 nucleotides. RefSeq lists it as uncharacterized. The transcript has 3 exons. Lineage: Eukaryota; Metazoa; Chordata; Mammalia; Primates; Hylobatidae. The record is from RefSeq and is a predicted model, not a curated record.
AAUAUCUGCAGCUGGCUUCAGUUUCGCCCCAGAAAAUGAGUUUUUCUUUUCUACCACGUGGUCAGGCUGCAAAAUUUCCAAACUUUAAUGUUUUGCUUCCCUUU